Molecule: transfer RNA, 82 nt
Organism: Robiginitalea biformata HTCC2501
Lineage: Bacteria; Pseudomonadati; Bacteroidota; Flavobacteriia; Flavobacteriales; Flavobacteriaceae
Rfam family: tRNA
About the family: Transfer RNA (tRNA) molecules are approximately 80 nucleotides in length.
Source: Rfam
GCAGGUGUGGUGGAAUUGGUAGACACGCUAGUUUCAGGUACUAGUGCCGCAAGGCUUGGAGGUUCGAGUCCUCUCACCUGUA